Molecule: long non-coding RNA, 886 nt
Organism: Mus musculus (house mouse)
Lineage: Eukaryota; Metazoa; Chordata; Mammalia; Rodentia; Muridae
Product: predicted gene, 52171
Exons: 4
Source: RefSeq, a predicted model, not a curated record
CAAACACUAAUGGCUGAAGAAGACAGCCUGUCCCUGGGCUUGGGAGUAGCCCGGGGCAAAAAUUCUCCCUAUAGCUGCCAUGACAGGAGCAGUGAUCUGUCUCUGAAGCCACUGUCAACCCUGGAGUCCUGGAUGCUGCACUGUCACCUGUGAGCCUUGAGUUAUAACAUUCUUCAUCAUCUUGAUUUAGGUGGCUGCCCCGCCUGCACUGGCAGCAAGGAGUCCAGGUGGCACCUGGCACUUAGGACUUGAACUCUGGAAGACCUACCCUUCAGCAGUGUGGGUUUCACACUGCCGUGAGGCCUAACAGAUGUGACUACGAGACAAUAGCCAGCGACACUCUUGGUCUGGUUCCCUAACUAGGGAGCAGCUUUCUGGGAAGCCAAGAGGGGAGUCUGUGCCAGGCCAAAUAGGUAAUUAGCACUAACAGAAACCCUAGUGCCCAGAGAUCAAAAUUGCUCCAGGCCAUGGAACACUGGCUCCCCAGUAAAGGAUUGGUGAGUCAGACCCCUGUGAUGGAGGAGUGUCCCAUACCAGGGACCCGGACGCAGAUUCUCUCUCUCACUAAGCCAGUGCCCUGUUCUUCCACCUGCCUGCAGUCACUAGUUAUGUCCCAGGGAGUUGCUUCUGGAAUAUUCUCUUUCCAAUACAAGCUGAAUGGUAAUUUUUCAAACUUCCUGCUUCCUGGAUCCCCUUCUCCCAUUCUUUCUAGUCCUCCAUCCCUGGCUUUUUUGAAAGGCCAUCUUUGGACCCUCCCAGUACUGUCAACAUAUAGUCUUUGCCUGCAAUCCUGGGGUCACAUAAGAAGAGUACUGGAACUUGAUAUGCUAUGCUCAGUUGAUAUCCCUGGGAGGCCUGUCAUUUUCUGAAGGGAACCAGGGGAGGA